CCUACGGGCGGCAGCAGUGGGGAAUAUUGCACAAUGGGCGAAAGCCUGAUGCAGCAACGCCGCGUGAAGGAAGACGGUUUUCGGAUUGUAAACUUCUGUUCUUAGUGGAGAAUAAUGACGGUCACUAACGAGCAAGCCACGUCUAACUACGUGCCAACAGCCGCGGUAAUACGUAGGUGGCAAGCGUUGUCCGGAUUUACUGGGUGUACAGGGAGCGUAGGCGGGAAGCCAAGUCAGCUGUGAAAACUACGGGCUUAACCGGUAGACUGCAGUUGAACCUGGCUUUCUUGAGUGAAGUAGAGGUUGGCGGAAUUCCGAGUGUAGCGGUGAAAUGCGUAGAUAUUCGGAGGAACACCGGUGGCGAAGGCGGCCAACUACGCUGUAACUGACACUGAGGCUCGAAAGUGUGGGGAGCAAACAGGAUUAGAUACCCGAGUAGUC
RNAcentral lists this ribosomal RNA (441 nucleotides) under uncultured bacterium. Its description in RNAcentral is "partial 16S ribosomal RNA". It matches the Rfam family "Bacterial small subunit ribosomal RNA", at positions 338 to 795 of the family's 1533-position model. The record is from RNAcentral.